RNAcentral lists this transfer RNA (84 nucleotides) under Vulcanimicrobiaceae bacterium. Its description in RNAcentral is "tRNA-Leu". It matches the Rfam family "tRNA". From Rfam's summary of the family: Transfer RNA (tRNA) molecules are approximately 80 nucleotides in length. Lineage: Bacteria; Bacillati; Vulcanimicrobiota; Vulcanimicrobiia; Vulcanimicrobiales; Vulcanimicrobiaceae. RNAcentral also lists the same sequence under 2 other names. The record is from RNAcentral.
GGGGAAGUGGCGGAAUGGCAGACGCAACCGCCUCAAAAGCGGUCGAGGCAACUCAUGUGGGUUCGAGUCCCACCUUCCCUACCA